Molecule: ribosomal RNA, 497 nt
Filed under: uncultured bacterium
Lineage: Bacteria
Description: partial 16S ribosomal RNA
Rfam family: Bacterial small subunit ribosomal RNA
Source: RNAcentral
GAUGAACGCUGGCGGCGUGCCUAAUACAUGCAAGUCGAGCGAACGGACGAGAAGCUUGCUUCUCUGAUGUUAGCGGCGGACGGGUGAGUAACACGUGGAUAACCUACCUAUAAGACUGGGAUAACUUCGGGAAACCGGAGCUAAUACCGGAUAAUAUUUUGAACCGCAUGGUUCAAAAGUGAAAGACGGUCUUGCUGUCACUUAUAGAUGGAUCCGCGCUGCAUUAGCUAGUUGGUAAGGUAACGGCUUACCAAGGCAACGAUGCGUAGCCGACCUGAGAGGAGGAUCGGCCACACUGGAACGGAGACACGGUCAAGACUCCUACGGGAGGCAGCAGUAGGGAAUCUUCCGCAAUGGGCGAAAGCUUGACGGAGCACCGCCGCGGGAGUGAUGAAGGUCUUCGGAUCGUAAAACUCUGUUAUUAGGGAAGAACAUAUGUGUAAGUAACUGUGCGCAUCUUGACGGUACCUAAUCAGAAAGCCACGGCUAACUACGUG